RNAcentral lists this ribosomal RNA (1499 nucleotides) under Weissella confusa. RNAcentral describes it as "bacterial SSU rRNA". It matches the Rfam family "Bacterial small subunit ribosomal RNA". Lineage: Bacteria; Bacillati; Bacillota; Bacilli; Lactobacillales; Lactobacillaceae. The record is from RNAcentral.
GAUGAACGCUGGCGGCGUGCCUAAUACAUGCAAGUCGAACGCUUUGUGGUUCAACUGAUUUGAAGAGCUUGCUCAGAUAUGACGAUGGACAUUGCAAAGAGUGGCGAACGGGUGAGUAACACGUGGGAAACCUACCUCUUAGCAGGGGAUAACAUUUGGAAACAGAUGCUAAUACCGUAUAACAAUGACAACCGCAUGGUUGUUAUUUAAAAGAUGGUUCUGCUAUCACUAAGAGAUGGUCCCGCGGUGCAUUAGCUAGUUGGUAAGGUAAUGGCUUACCAAGGCGAUGAUGCAUAGCCGAGUUGAGAGACUGAUCGGCCACAAUGGGACUGAGACACGGCCCAUACUCCUACGGGAGGCAGCAGUAGGGAAUCUUCCACAAUGGGCGAAAGCCUGAUGGAGCAACGCCGCGUGUGUGAUGAAGAGUUUCGGCUCGUAAAACACUGUUGUAAGAGAAGAAUGACAUUGAGAGUAACUGUUCAAUGUGUGACGGUAUCUUACCAGAAAGGAACGGCUAAAUACGUGCCAGCAGCCGCGGUAAUACGUAUGUUCCAAGCGUUAUCCGGAUUUAUUGGGCGUAAAGCGAGCGCAGACGGUUAUUUAAGUCUGAAGUGAAAGCCCUCAGCUCAACUGAGGAAUUGCUUUGGAAACUGGAUGACUUGAGUGCAGUAGAGGAAAGUGGAACUCCAUGUGUAGCGGUGAAAUGCGUAGAUAUAUGGAAGAACACCAGUGGCGAAGGCGGCUUUCUGGACUGUAACUGACGUUGAGGCCCGAAAGUGUGGGUAGCAAACAGGAUUAGAUACCCUGGUAGUCCACACCGUAAACGAUGAGUGCUAGGUGUUUGAGGGUUUCCGCCCUUAAGUGCCGCAGCUAACGCAUUAAGCACUCCGCCUGGGGAGUACGACCGCAAGGUUGAAACUCAAAGGAAUUGACGGGGACCCGCACAAGCGGUGGAGCAUGUGGUUUAAUUCGAAGCAACGCGAAGAACCUUACCAGGUCUUGACAUCCCUUGACAACUCCAGAGAUGGAGCGUUCCCUUCGGGGACAAGGUGACAGGUGGUGCAUGGUUGUCGUCAGCUCGUGUCGUGAGAUGUUGGGUUAAGUCCCGCAACGAGCGCAACCCUUAUUACUAGUUGCCAGCAUUCAGUUGGGCACUCUAGUGAGACUGCCGGUGACAAACCGGAGGAAGGUGGGGAUGACGUCAAAUCAUCAUGCCCCUUAUGACCUGGGCUACACACGUGCUACAAUGGCGUAUACAACGAGUUGCCAACCCGCGAGGGUGAGCUAAUCUCUUAAAGUACGUCUCAGUUCGGAUUGUAGGCUGCAACUCGCCUACAUGAAGUCGGAAUCGCUAGUAAUCGCGGAUCAGCACGCCGCGGUGAAUACGUUCCCGGGUCUUGUACACACCGCCCGUCACACCAUGAGAGUUUGUAACACCCAAAGCCGGUGGGGUAACCUUCGGGAGCCAGCCGUCUAAGGUGGGACAGAUGAUUAGGGUG